Long non-coding RNA from Triticum dicoccoides, 4114 nucleotides. RefSeq lists it as uncharacterized. Lineage: Eukaryota; Viridiplantae; Streptophyta; Magnoliopsida; Poales; Poaceae. The record is from RefSeq and is a predicted model, not a curated record. The transcript is spliced from 19 exons.
GUGAUCCAGUAAUCCAACCCCGACGCUUCCCAUCCAACCCUUCCAACGCCGCCGCGGCUCCGAUCCCUUUCUCCCUCCCUCCCACUCACCACCACCACCUCCGGCGACCCCCAAUCCGGCGACGGCGACGGCGACGGCGAAUCCCGUGCCCGCGUUCUUGCUCCUUCAGAUGCCGCGGCUCGUCUCCUCUCCUCUCCUGUCGCCGCGGAGGAGCCACCGUGGUCGGGCAGCGGAGCACCGCCGCCGGCUGGAUUCCCUCCUCUUCUCCACAAUCAACCACCGCCGGCUGGAGCCCCGUCUCUUCUCCUCUCAUCUCCGCCUCUCCGGUCGCUGUGGAGGAACGCAGUGUCCAACCUCCUUGCCUCCUCGACGGCGGCCGAAACCCUAGCUGUCCCCUCUCUUCCGCCCACGGCCAUGGCCAUGGCGGGAGGUGCAGCAGGUAGGUACAGCGGCCAGAGGAGAGGAGAUGAGAGGAGAAGAGGUGUAGUAGCAGGCCAAGAUCACCGUGUAGUUCCCGAGCUUCCAGGGAAGGGACGGUGAUGGUGCCCCUGCAGCAGCAGGGAAAAAGUGCGACGACGAUGCGAGCUCGGGCGGGUUGGGUGGCAAGCUGAGCUUCAAGUGGGAGGCCGGCAGCUGCUCGUCAACGUCGUCGGUGGUGUACUUGCCGCUGUCGUUCGUGUCAGCGCCGGCUAGGAGGAUGGAGCAGCAGGCCAAGAUCCAUGAUUAUAUCAUUGAGAAGCUCCAGGACGACAAGAGGGUCAGCUGGUAGCUCUGCUUCCUCGUCUACAAGCACUCGAGCACCGCCAUGGCUGGGCUGCUGAUGCAGGCCGUUGGGUACAAAUUCGAUUACGAUGAUUUCCACAGCUUUGUUGAUGGUCUGUUGGCUUACAAAAAGUUAACCCCGACGCCUCCCGCGUGGCGCCUCCAGUGGCCACUUCUUCAUUUCCGGCAUACAUAAGCCCACUUGAUCCAUCUCCUCUUUCUCUAACGCUGUAUGUGCCCACGGGUUGAGUUAUGCGACCGUGGGAGUUUCACACUGCACACUGAUUAGUGCAAUUGAGCACGUUUAUUUAUUUGUAUGUAAAAAUAUAAAAUCCUUCUAACACUCGCUGGCCAUUGGUGAGCAGCAGGCCAUCUUCACCUCCGACCCAGCACCAACAUGCAGUUUCUGAGCUUCCAGGGAAGGGGCGGUGCUAGUGCCCUGCAGCUGUAGCAUCAUAGUGUGACGAUGGCAUGAGCUCUGGCGGGUUCGGCGGGAAGCUGAGCUUCAAGUGGGAGGCGGGCGGCUGCUCGUUGGCAUUGUCUUUGAUGGUCGGUGGUGUACUCGCCGCUGUCGUUCUUGUCGGCACUACCCAGGAGGACAAAUUUGCACACACCGUCGAGGGGUAACGGGAACUACAGCUACAGCAAUUGGUACACAUCGCCGUUGUCGUUGGCGAGCCAGAAGAUCUCGACGUCAGAGGCGUGCCGGAUGGUGCAAUGAAUUACCACUGACUCGACUCAGUUCCUGAGCUUCGAGGGAACGGGCGGUGGUGGUGCCCCUGCAGCAGCCGAAACAAAGUGCAACGACGGCGCGAGCUCGGGCAGGUCGGGUGGCAAGAUGAGCUUCAAGUGGGUUGUUGGCAGCUGCUCGUCGGCGUCUAUGGUGUACCUGUUGCUGUCGUUCGCGUCAGCCCCGGCCGGGAGAACGGAGCAGCAGACGCCGUCUCGGUGGAACGGGAACUACAACCACUGCAAUGGGUGCUUGUCCUGGCUAUCGUCGGUGAGCCAGAAGAGCUCGUCUGCAUUGAAGUCAAUGUUGGAUGCCGCAGUGGACACCACCUAUCAAACUUCGCGGCGUUGAGCUGUGAGUAAAAAACAAUAUUGGUAAAGAUGGACGAGGAACAGAGUUCAGUAGUGGACUCAUGGCUGGGUGAGAUAAUUGGGGAAUUAUAAGGCAAUACGCGACACCGCUUUAUCUCGAUGAAGAAGCUGCCAUGAAAGCUAUGCCUUCUCAUAACACGUGCAACAAAAGCCAAAGGGUUGCGCCUUUUAUAUGUCUCUCCCCAAAUAGGGGAGAAGGGUCCAGCCUGGAAGGGCGACCAAGGGGUCCUGCCUGAGCUCGACGAGUCCAGCCUGGCCAUGACGACACACAACUCCCAGCAAGCUCCCGGCAUCAUGGGCGAGGACGAUGACCGGGACCCCGAGCCCAAGCCGACAAGAACGAUGAGGACAUCGUCGAGUCAGGGAACCCUGACCUCGACUCCCCACACAAGUUCUUGGCUCAACCCCUCUCAACUAUGAGACGGUGACGAUGGCAGGAGGGCACCAGAUCUGGCCAGGAGUAGGGCCUUGUCCUGCUGAAGGAGGAGUGACGCACCUAGCUGCCGGCCUUGUCCUCCUCGAGGAGGAGGGGGCACACCAAGGGGUCUUCUCCUUUGCUUCCAAGGCAACCAAGGGGUCCUGCCCGAGCUCGACAAGCCCAGCCUGGCCUUGACGACGCACCACUCCCAGCAGAUCGCGCAUGGCGCUGAUGAGAUGGCGAUGAUGGAAGGAGGUCAUCUUGCAGCCACUGGCCUUGUUCUCCUCAGGAUGGGCGCACAUAGUCACCAAGGGCUCUUCUCCUCUUCUUCCAAGGCGGGCGAUGAAGGGGCCUGAGCUUUACUAGUCCAGCCAGGUCACGCGAUGGGCGCCGGAGAUGAGGUUGAGAGCGAUUCCGGCGGCGACCGCGCGGGGUCAGGCUAGGCCUUCUUCGAGGAGACGGCUCAAAACCUGCUAUGCCUUCUCAUAACACGAGGACAAAAGCCAAAGGGUCGCGCCUUUGAUAUGUCUCUCACCCCAAAGGGGAGAAGGGUCCAGCCUGGCCACGACGACGCACCGCUCCCAGCAGGUGCCCGACUCUAUGGACGACGGGGAUGAACGGGACCCCAAGCCCAAGCUGACGAGCACGACGAGGACAUCGCCAAGUCAGGGGACCCUGACCUUGACUCCCCACACAAGACCGCCCAUGGCGCAGACAUGACGACGACGAGGGUAGGAGGGCGCCAUAUCCGGCCGGGAAUAUGGCCUUGUCCUGCUCGAGGAAGAGGAGGGAUGCACCUAGCUGGGGGCCCUGUCCUCCUCGUGGAGGAGGGGCACACCAAGGGAUCUGCUCCUCUGCUUCCAAGGCAACCAAGGGGUCCUGCCCAAGCUCGACGAGUCCAUCCUGGCUACGACACUGCACCGCUCCCAGAAGAUCACCCAUGGCAUGGAUGCGACGGCGAUGACGGUAGGAGGGCACCUUGCAGCUGCCAGCCUUGCCCUCAUGAGGAGGAGGAUGGACGCACAUAGCCACCAAUGGUUGUGCUCCUCAUCUUCCAAGGUGAGUGAUCAAGGGGACCGAGCUAGACGAGUCCAGCUCGGCCACCACGACGCAACGCUCCCAGCAGGCAAAAAAUUGGAGACUGAACUCUGAAUGAAAAAAAGAGGAGUUACCUAUAUUAUCAUGGUACAUCAUAGUGGAAUGGCAAGCCACAGUCAAUCAUAUCAAUAACGGAAAAGUACACCCACAUUCUGACCAAAGAGAAGUCGUACAUGACUUGUGGCUGAACUAUAAAGAGCUAGCUGUGAGAUGUGACUGGAUUUGACAUUAAUUCAGCCUUGAGGCAACUGCCAUUGGAUGACCAUGUCAGCAGACAGUUCAUUCACCGAUGUGAUUGUACAUAGACAGUCUAAAUUUUUGGUGUGCAAGUGCAUCAUUACAGCGAGAAAAUGAGAGCCAGCAAGCAAUGCCUGCCUUAAACUAGUCAGUAAACUCACAAACCUGUUGGUGAGCUUGUCCAGCCGCACGUCGAUGUAUCCUUGGGCGACACCUUGAAGGCGAACAUAGCAAUGUCAGCGAAGGGGUAUGGCAUCCUUGCCUGGGGCGUCAUGCUAUUGACAAUAGCAUGGCGCCCUGGGCCGUGGCUGUUAGCCCAGAACUACUCGCUAGCACUCGAGUACACUGAUAGACGACCGGCGGAUGAGCACACACACGUACUACUCACACACUUACUAGUGUAUCUCACACACACGUAGUAGCAGCAGUAGUAGUAGUACACAGCACUUGAGGCUUGGAGCACACACGGUGGUACUAGAAGGAGGAAAAUGCCUUGUA